RNAcentral lists this ribosomal RNA (421 nucleotides) under uncultured bacterium. RNAcentral's name for it is "partial 16S ribosomal RNA". It matches the Rfam family "Bacterial small subunit ribosomal RNA", at positions 355 to 768 of the family's 1533-position model. The record is from RNAcentral.
UGGGGAAUUUUGGACAAUGGGGGGAAACCCUGAUCCAGCCAUCCCGCGUGUGCGAUGAAGGCCUUCGGGUUGUAAAGCACUUUUGCAGGAAAGAAACGCCGCGGGUUAAUACCCCGCGAAACUGACGGUACCUGCAGAAUAAGCACCGGCUAACUACGUGCCAGCAGCCGCGGUAAUACGUAGGGUGCAAGCGUUAAUCGGAAUUACUGGGCGUAAAGCGUGCGCAGGCGGUUCGGAAAGAAAGAUGUGAAAUCCCAGAGCUUAACUUUGGAACUGCAUUUUUAACUACCGGGCUAGAGUGUGUCAGAGGGAGGUGGAAUUCCGCGUGUAGCAGUGAAAUGCGUAGAUAUGCGGAGGAACACCGAUGGCGAAGGCAGCCUCCUGGGAUAACACUGACGCUCAUGCACGAAAGCGUGGGGAG